This 477-nucleotide ribosomal RNA is filed under the name uncultured bacterium. RNAcentral's name for it is "partial 16S ribosomal RNA". It matches the Rfam family "Bacterial small subunit ribosomal RNA", at positions 29 to 507 of the family's 1533-position model. The record is from RNAcentral.
AUGAACGCUGGCGGCGUGCUUAACCCAUGCAAGUCGAACGGGAAACCUUUUAUUGAAGCUUCGGCAGAUUUAGCUGGUUUCUAGUGGCGGACGGGUGAGUAACGCGUGGGUAACCUGCCUUAUACAGGGGGAUAACAACCAGAAAUGGUUGCUAAUACCGCAUAAGCGCACAGGACCGCAUGGUCCGGUGUGAAAAACUCCGGUGGUAUAAGAUGGACCCGCGUUGGAUUAGCUAGUUGGCAGGGUAACGGCCUACCAAGGCGACGAUCCAUAGCCGGCCUGAGAGGGUGAACGGCCACAUUGGGACUGAGACACGGCCCAGACUCCUACGGGAGGCAGCAGUGGGGAAUAUUGCACAAUGGGGGAAACCCUGAUGCAGCGACGCCGCGUGAAGGAAGAAGUAUCUCGGUAUGUAAACUUCUAUCAGCAGGGAAGAUAGUGACGGUACCUGACGAAGAAGCCCCGGCUAACUACGUG